UGCCAUAAUACGGCUGCCUGAUUUGUGUGU
This 30-nucleotide non-coding RNA is filed under the name Homo sapiens (human). The record is from RNAcentral. Lineage: Eukaryota; Metazoa; Chordata; Mammalia; Primates; Hominidae.